AGCAGCCGCGGUAAUUCCAGCUCCAAUAGCGUAUAUUAAAGUUGUUGCAGUUAAAAAGCUCGUAGUUGAAUUUCGGAAUCUGUCCAUCGGUCGGGCUUCACUGUCCGUACUGGUGUGGUGGGUUCUUACCUUCUGAAUAACCAGCAUGCCAUUCACUUGGUGCGCUGGGGAAGCAGGACUAUUACCUUGAAAAAUUAGAGUGCUCAAAGCAGGCUAGUGCCUGAAUACAUUAGCAUGGAAUAAUAAAAUAGGACGGCAUGGUUUUAUUUUGUUGGUUUCUAGGAUCACCGUAAUGAUUAAUAGGGAUAGUUGGGGGCAUUAGUAUUCAAUUGUCAGAGGUGAAAUUCUUGGAUUUAUUGAAGACUAACUUCUGCGAAAGCAUUUGCCAAGGAUGUUUUCAUUAAUCAAGAACGAAAGUUAGGGGAUCGAAGACGAUCAGAUACCGUCGUAGUCUUAACCAUAAACUAUGCC
Molecule: unclassified non-coding RNA, 471 nt
Filed under: uncultured Glomus
Lineage: Eukaryota; Fungi; Glomeromycota; Glomeromycetes; Glomerales; Glomeraceae
Description: SSU rRNA
Rfam family: Eukaryotic small subunit ribosomal RNA
Source: RNAcentral